This 793-nucleotide ribosomal RNA is filed under the name uncultured Actinomycetes bacterium. RNAcentral's name for it is "bacterial SSU rRNA". It matches the Rfam family "Bacterial small subunit ribosomal RNA", at positions 85 to 894 of the family's 1533-position model. Lineage: Bacteria; Bacillati; Actinomycetota; Actinomycetes. The record is from RNAcentral.
GGGUACUCGAGUGGCGAACGGGUGAGUAACACGUGGGUGAUCUGCCUUGCACUUCGGGAUAAGCUUGGGAAACUGGGUCUAAUACCGGAUAGGACAGCUGUUUAGUGUCAGUUGUGGAAAGUUUUUUCGGUGCAAGAUGAGCUCGCGGCCUAUCAGCUUGUUGGUGGGGUAAUGGCCUACCAAGGCGUCGACGGGUAGCCGGCCUGAGAGGGUGUACGGCCACAUUGGGACUGAGAUACGGCCCAGACUCCUACGGGAGGCAGCAGUGGGGAAUAUUGCACAAUGGGCGGAAGCCUGAUGCAGCGACGCCGCGUGGGGGAUGAAGGCCUUCGGGUUGUAAACUCCUUUCGACAGGGACGAAGCGUAAGUGACGGUACCUGUAUAAGAAGCACCGGCUAACUACGUGCCAGCAGCCGCGGUAAUACGUAGGGUGCGAGCGUUGUCCGGAAUUACUGGGCGUAAAGAGCUCGUAGGUGGUUUGUCGCGUCGUCUGUGAAAUUCCGGGGCUUAACUCCGGGCGUGCAGGCGAUACGGGCUGACUUGAGUGCUGUAGGGGAGACUGGAAUUCCUGGUGUAGCGGUGAAAUGCGCAGAUAUCAGGAGGAACACCGAUGGCGAAGGCAGGUCUCUGGGCAGUAACUGACGCUGAGGAGCGAAAGCAUGGGUAGCGAACAGGAUUAGAUACCCUGGUAGUCCAUGCCGUAAACGGUGGGCGCUAGGUGUAGGGGGCUUCCACGUCUUCUGUGCCGUAGCUAACGCAUUAAGCGCCCCGCCUGGGGAGUACGCCGCAAGGC